GACGAACCGUGCGAACGUUGUUCGGAAUCACUGGGCUUAAAGGGCGCGUAGGCGGACCACCAAGUCGGGGGUGAAAUCUUUCAGCUCAACUGGAAAAGAGCUUCCGAUACUGGUGGUCUCGAGGGAGGUAGGGGUCGAGGGAACUAAUGGUGGAGCGGUGAAAUGCGUAGAUAUCAGGAGGAACACCGGUGGCGAAGGCGGUGAUCUGGGCCGACACUGACGCUGUAGAGCGAAAGCGUGGGGAGCGAACAGG
This 253-nucleotide ribosomal RNA is filed under the name uncultured bacterium. RNAcentral describes it as "partial 16S ribosomal RNA". It matches the Rfam family "Bacterial small subunit ribosomal RNA", at positions 524 to 776 of the family's 1533-position model. The record is from RNAcentral.